CGUUCCACGGGGGAGAUCCCCAAAGGGAGAAAAUCAGCGGGAAAGCGGAAAACGGGAAAAACUGCAAUGCGGGAACGGAAAAGCGGGUGCUUUGGAAUAAUGCUCCACAUAUGCUGGUCAAACAUUGUCCCGCUGGUUGGAGUUUGGCAGUGCAAAGCUUUCCCCCAUUGCCUUUCCCAUAAAUCAACACUAUUCAUUUUCCGAUAGAUCACGAAUAAUUGUUAUUGUUGUUAUUUAUGCCCCAUCUCUUUUGCGGCCACUGAUUUUCGGUUGUCAGUGUUUAUUUUUCGGCGUUUCGGCGUUUUCCAAUCCGUAUCACAGCUUGUAAUGCCCCCUCAAUUUCAUAUUCACAAUGCAAGCCACACUUUUGCAAGUUCUUUUGUGAGAGCAGCAGAGAGAGUGUAAGGAUAAAGCCAGGACGAACAAAAGCCCUCAUUCGGGGACCGAUGGCUCUGAUGGCUAUGAUGGCCAUUUUGUGGGUCAAUCAAUUUUUGACGCAUUCGAACAAUAGGAGGACGGAUAAAUGCGAUUUAUAAAGUGCGGUCGGUCGGGUGCAUUCGUUGUUAAAUUAGGCGUGUGCUGUGCAAUGCGGACGUGUAUUGUGUAUUGUGUAUUGUGAAUUAUGGCAAUUAAAUAGUUAAGACUCUUAUGGAAA
Long non-coding RNA from Drosophila teissieri, 655 nucleotides. RefSeq lists it as uncharacterized. Lineage: Eukaryota; Metazoa; Arthropoda; Insecta; Diptera; Drosophilidae. The record is from RefSeq and is a predicted model, not a curated record. The transcript has 2 exons.